Molecule: ribosomal RNA, 303 nt
Filed under: uncultured soil bacterium
Lineage: Bacteria
Description: bacterial SSU rRNA
Rfam family: Bacterial small subunit ribosomal RNA
Source: RNAcentral
AGAACGAACGCUGGCGGCAUGCCUAAUACAUGCAAGUCGAACGAACUCUUCGGAGUUAGUGGCGCACGGGUGCGUAACGCGUGGGAAUCUGCCCCUUGGUUCGGAAUAACAGUUGGAAACGACUGCUAAUACCGGAUGAUGACGAAAGUCCAAAGAUUUAUCGCCAAGGGAUGAGCCCGCGUAGGAUUAGCUAGUUGGUGAGGUAAAGGCUCACCAAGGCAACGAUCCUUAGCUGGUCUGAGAGGAUGAUCAGCCACACGUGGGACUAGAGACACGGCCCAGACUCCGUACGGGAGGCAGACA